CACGCAGGCGGUUUAUUAAGUUGGAUGUGAAAGUUUACGGCUUAACUGUAAAAGUGCAUCCAAUACUGGUAGACUUGAGUCUCGGAGAGGUAAGCGGAAUUCCUAGUGUAGCGGUGAAAUGCGUAGAGAUUAGGAAGAACACCGGUGGCGAAGGCGGCUUACUGGACGAGUACUGACGCUCAGGUGCGAAAGCGUGGGGAGCGAACA
This 207-nucleotide ribosomal RNA is filed under the name uncultured bacterium. RNAcentral's name for it is "partial 16S ribosomal RNA". It matches the Rfam family "Bacterial small subunit ribosomal RNA", at positions 568 to 774 of the family's 1533-position model. The record is from RNAcentral.